RNAcentral lists this RNase P RNA (380 nucleotides) under Bacteroidia bacterium. Its description in RNAcentral is "RNase P RNA component class A". It matches the Rfam family "Bacterial RNase P class A". Rfam says of the family: Ribonuclease P (RNase P) is a ubiquitous endoribonuclease, found in archaea, bacteria and eukarya as well as chloroplasts and mitochondria. Its best characterised activity is the generation of mature 5'-ends of tRNAs by cleaving the 5'-leader elements of precursor-tRNAs. Cellular RNase Ps are ribonucleoproteins. The record is from RNAcentral. Lineage: Bacteria; Pseudomonadati; Bacteroidota; Bacteroidia.
GAGGCAGUCCGUUCUAUCGAUUCGUAAAAGCGAAUAGGAAAGUCCGGGCAACACAGGGUACCGCACUUCCUAACAGGAAGGCGCUUCGGACUUCGGUUUGGGGCGACAGACAGUGUCACAGAAAACUAUACCGCCACCUUAGGGUGGUAAGGGUGAAAAAGUGGGGUAAGAGCCCACUCGUUCAGCAGCGAUGUUGAAUUGGGACAAACCUUGCGGGUUGAAAGGUCAAAUAAACCUGGAUUAAAGGGCGACCCGCUUUAUUGCGCAAGCGAGCCAGGAGGGUAGACCGAUGGAGGUGCAGCGUGAGUUGCAUCCUAGAUCAAUGAUAGAAGCUCCACGAAAGGGGAGAACAGAACCCGGCUUACAGGACUGCCUUUUUU